AGUGAAAAAGAACCUGAAACCGUGUACGUACAAGCAGUGGGAGCACGCUUAGGCGUGUGACUGCGUACCUUUUGUAUAAUGGGUCAGCGACUUAUAUUCUGUAGCAAGGUUAACCGAAUAGGGGAGCCGAAGGGAAACCGAGUCUUAACUGGGCGUUAAGUUGCAGGGUAUAGACCCGAAACCCGGUGAUCUAGCCAUGGGCAGGUUGAAGGUUGGGUAACACUAACUGGAGGACCGAACCGACUAAUGUUGAAAAAUUAGCGGAUGACUUGUGGCUGGGGGUGAAAGGCCAAUCAAACCGGGAGAUAGCUGGUUCUCCCCGAAAGCUAUUUAGGUAGCGCCUCGUGAAUUCAUCUCCGGGGGUAGAGCACUGUUUCGGCAAGGGGGUCAUCCCGACUUACCAACCCGAUGCAAACUGCGAAUACCGGAGAAUGUUAUCACGGGAGACACACGGCGGGUGCUAACGUCCGUCGUGAAGAGGGAAACAACCCAGACCGCCAGCUAAGGUCCCAAAGUCAUGGUUAAGUGGGAAACGAUGUGGGAAGGCCCAGACAGCCAGGAUGUUGGCUUAGAAGCAGCCAUCAUUUAAAGAAAGCGUAAUAGCUCACUGGUCGAGUCGGCCUGCGCGGAAGAUGUAACGGGGCUAAACCAUGCACCGAAGCUGCGGCAGCGACGCUUAUGCGUUGUUGGGUAGGGGAGCGUUCUGUAAGCCUGCGAAGGUGUGCUGUG
This 729-nucleotide ribosomal RNA is filed under the name Escherichia coli. RNAcentral's name for it is "partial 23S ribosomal RNA". It matches the Rfam family "Bacterial large subunit ribosomal RNA", at positions 537 to 1265 of the family's 2925-position model. Lineage: Bacteria; Pseudomonadati; Pseudomonadota; Gammaproteobacteria; Enterobacterales; Enterobacteriaceae. The record is from RNAcentral.